This 348-nucleotide ribosomal RNA is filed under the name uncultured bacterium. Its description in RNAcentral is "bacterial SSU rRNA". It matches the Rfam family "Bacterial small subunit ribosomal RNA", at positions 355 to 701 of the family's 1533-position model. The record is from RNAcentral.
UAAGGAAUAUUGGUCAAUGGACGCAAGUCUGAACCAGCCAUGCCGCGUGAAGGAUGAAGGUCCUCUGGAUUGUAAACUUCUUUUAUCUGGGACGAAAACGGGAUUUUUAUCUCAAUUGACGGUACCAGAGGAAUAAGCACCGGCUAACUCCGUGCCAGCAGCCGCGGUAAUACGGAGGGUGCGAGCGUUGUCCGGAUUUACUGGGUUUAAAGGGUGCGUAGGUGGGCUUAUAAGUCAGUGGUGAAAUCUCCGAGCUUAACUUGGAAACUGCCGUUGAUACUAUAUGUUUUGAAUUAUCUGGAGGCAAGCUGAAUAUGGCAUGCAGCGGUGAAAUGCUUAGAUAUGACA